Olea europaea var. sylvestris is the source of this 1217-nucleotide long non-coding RNA. RefSeq lists it as uncharacterized. The transcript has 2 exons. NCBI's taxonomy places the organism in Eukaryota, Viridiplantae, Streptophyta, Magnoliopsida, Lamiales, Oleaceae. The record is from RefSeq and is a predicted model, not a curated record.
UUUUCAUUCCCGUUACUUAUUUUCCCAAUCUCACAAGCCCUUAAAAGAGGCGAGGCUAAAAAGACGGAUCGAAGGCAAUCUACUCCACCAUCUCUCCAUUCCAUCUCUCCCAACCUCAACAUAGAACUCAACGCCUUCAAUGAAACCCAAGGCAUUCUGGCAUUUUUUUUGUCAAGGCAUUCAGUCAUUGUUUUCGUCAUUCAAAUCCCCACAACCAUAGUCUUCUUUGGCGAAUCUACAACUAAAAUUAGAUAAGCGUGAUACGUGGUUUACAUGGGUAUCUCGAAGCUGUUGAUUUCCGAAAAAAAUUUGGGUAAUUAUGAAUUUUCAAUUAGAAACCAGUAUCUGAAUUUUUAAUUACAACCCUGUUCAUAUGAUUUGAAGGUAGAUUAAUAUGUAAAUAUUUAUAGAAAUGGUGAAAUUGAUUAAGAUUUAUAUUUAUAUUUACGACGACAUAUGAUUAAUUGACUAGCUGAAUCAGAAACGAGUUAAGCUAAUGAUUUGAUUUUGUUGUUUUGAUAUGUGCCAUGAGGAGUUCCGGGAGACAAUAUUACAUGUUCAUCUGGCAAAAGAUGGUUCUCCAGCUUAUAAUGGCAGGACAGAACGAUGGAGUCUGCCAUGGUUGUAGACGAAGCAGUUACUUUGUGGAUUGUCAAAAUAAGGUCCAUUGCCCGUGGUAUAAAGCUGCAUAUGUGUGAAGUGUUUUGCAGUGGUAUAGAACAUGAUCAACAAAGGUAAAUUUAAGUGUUGCAGCAAAAAGUGCGGAUUUUGAGAGUAGGUCAAAGAGGAUGAAACAUCCCGCAAAUCAAGUUCCAUUGGCAGUUCCACUAAUAAUCAUUUGGCAACUGGAUUAGAGAAUAAUGUCUCUUGCAUAUUUGAAAUGAUGUGUCGAUUAACUAACGAAAAAGAUGUGAAGAUAAUCAUGACAAUACGCAAAGGAAAUGCAAAGUUAGAAUGUGAUAAGAAAGGAAAGGGCCCGGCAUGAUUUGUAGUUAUUCGUCUAUGAACUUCUUUUGUGACUUUUUUCGUCUACGAUGCAAAUGCAAAUGCAGAAUGUGACUUUCUUCGUCUACGAAGUUGUGAAGUGUUAAUGUAAUUUCAGUUUUUUAAAUGUUAAUGUACGAUGUUGAUGUACAAUGUAAUUUCAGUUUAUUGGAUAUUUUCCUAUGCUAGUUCUAUUGUAACAGUAGGCCAAAGGAAUAACAUUUCUUCCUCUA